RNAcentral lists this ribosomal RNA (529 nucleotides) under uncultured bacterium. RNAcentral describes it as "bacterial SSU rRNA". It matches the Rfam family "Bacterial small subunit ribosomal RNA", at positions 777 to 1308 of the family's 1533-position model. The record is from RNAcentral.
AAUAGAUACCCUGGUAGUCCACGCCGUAAAACGAUGGAUACUAGCUGUUUGAGCGCAAGUUUGAGUGGCUAAGCGAAAGUGAUAAGUAUCCCACCUGGGGAGUACGGGCGCAAGCCUGAAACUCAAAGGAAUUGACGGGGGCCCGCACAAGCGGUGGAGCAUGUGGUUUAAUUCGAUGAUACGCGAGGAACCUUACCAGGGCUUAAAUGUAGAUUGACGUAUUUGGAAACAGAUAUUUCUUCGGACAAUUUACAAGGUGCUGCAUGGUUGUCGUCAGCUCGUGCCGUGAGGUGUCAGGUUAAGUCCUAUAACGAGCGCAACCCCGUGUUGUUAGUUGCCAGCGAGUAAUGUCGGGAACUCUAGCAAGACUGCCAGUGUAAACUGUGAGGAAGGUGGGGAUGACGUCAAAUCAUCACGGCCCUUACGUCCUGGGCCACACACGUGCUACAAUGGCCGGUACAGAGAGCAGGCCACUUAGCGAUAAGGAGCGAAUCUAUAAAAGCCGGUNACAGUUCGGAUCGGAGUCUGA